Molecule: ribosomal RNA, 271 nt
Filed under: uncultured archaeon
Lineage: Archaea
Description: partial 16S ribosomal RNA
Rfam family: Archaeal small subunit ribosomal RNA
Source: RNAcentral
CAGCGCCACGAGUGGCAACCGCGAUUAUUGGGCCUAAAGCGUCCGUAGCCGGUUUGGUAAAUCUUUUGUGAAAUUGUACAGCUCAACUGUACAGCGUGCAAGAGACACUGCCAAACUCGAGACCGGGAGGAGUCAGAAGUAUUCCAGGGGGAGCGGUAAAAUGUUAUAAUCCCUGGAGGACUACCUGUGGCGAAGGCGUCUGACCAGAACGGAUCUGACGGUGAGGGACGAAAGCCAGGGGAGCGAACCGGAUUAGAUACCCGCGUAGUCC